Long non-coding RNA from Episyrphus balteatus (marmalade hoverfly), 424 nucleotides. RefSeq lists it as uncharacterized. The transcript has 3 exons. The record is from RefSeq and is a predicted model, not a curated record. Lineage: Eukaryota; Metazoa; Arthropoda; Insecta; Diptera; Syrphidae.
CUUGAAUUAAAUAAAAGUACAAAAUUUACUGUUUAUUAGGAGUUUUUGGUGUGGAUAAGCUCUUGCUUGCUGGAAAAAUCCAUUUUCAAACGAUAUGCUGAAGAUUGCAUAAAUACAGAUGCGUAAUUCAGCAAAACUGGCAUUUUUCUUACACUCAUAUUGCCCUGUAAGAAGUAAAUUAUAAUUUAUUUUAUACAAAUUUACAAAAAUGGCUAAAAACGUAUUUACCUGAAAAGGAUAUUCAAAUCCAGUUAAGAAUCUUUUGCUUGCCGAAAAUAAAUUUGACAUUGCUGGUGAGCCAACUGUUUGCUUGACAAUUUGACAUAAUAAAAAUAAGUAAAUUACUGUUGCUUGAUAAACAGGACGUGGUAAAAAACAACCACAAUUUAAUUGAUGGUUAUUAUCCCCGGUAACUGUGGUAUUG